This is a non-coding RNA of Cordylochernes scorpioides, 74 nucleotides long. NCBI's taxonomy places the organism in Eukaryota, Metazoa, Arthropoda, Arachnida, Pseudoscorpiones, Chernetidae. The record is from the annotation of a GenBank genome assembly.
UCCAGGGUAGCCUAGUGGACAUGGCAUCUGCCCGGUAAGCUGAACACUGUGGGUUCGAUUCCCAUCCUUUGGAC